AAAAAUGAUGGAAGUACCUACUAUGAUAGUAGAUAGAAUUUGUCUUGAUUUCAUUAUUUUGCAGUAAUACAUGACGGUUUUCUUCACCAGAGUUAUCAUUUCAUUUCUCAUGCUCGCCGCCGACGACGCGCGGCUCGGCU
This 140-nucleotide non-coding RNA is filed under the name Aurantiochytrium limacinum. Lineage: Eukaryota; Bigyra; Thraustochytrida; Thraustochytriidae. The record is from RNAcentral.